AAACAGUCCGUGGACUUGCUGGAAAAUCUCUCUUGAAGAUGAUGAAGAGAUGGCCCUCUACAAUCUCAAAAUGUGUGCUCAGUCUGAGUCAGAACUUGAAAAAUUCUAGCUCACCAGAAUGCGCAGUCUUAGGUUCCUGUGCAGUCCUUGCAACGCAAACUGUUCUUAAAUGUUUAACAACGGAUUUGAAGGCACUUUCUUCCUUCCUGCUUGGAAUUCUGUCAAGCUCUCAUCAUGAAACACUAAAAGCUCAGAAAGCCAUCAAUGAGCUUUUCAUUAAGUACAACAUUCAUUUUUCUGGAGUAUCCAGAAACAUGUUUAAG
This 323-nucleotide unclassified non-coding RNA is filed under the name Hevea brasiliensis (rubber tree). The record is from RNAcentral. Lineage: Eukaryota; Viridiplantae; Streptophyta; Magnoliopsida; Malpighiales; Euphorbiaceae.